UGAGGAAUAUUGGGCAAUGGAGGCAACUCUGACCCAGCCAUGCCGCGUGCAGGAUGACUGCCCUAUGGGUUGUAAACUGCUUUUAUACAGGAAGAAACCAUUCUACGUGUAGGGUGUUGACGGUACUGUAAGAAUAAGCACCGGCUAACUCCGUGCCAGCAGCCGCGGUAAUACGGAGGGUGCAAGCGUUAUCCGGAAUCAUUGGGUUUAAAGGGUCCGUAGGCGGAUUAAUAAGUCAGAGGUGAAAUCCCACAGCUUAACUGUGGAACUGCCUUUGAUACUGUUAGUCUUGAGUUAUGUGGAAGUAGAUAGAAUGUGUAGUGUAGCGGUGAAAUGCUUAGAGAUUACACAGAAUACCGAUUGCGAAGGCAGUCUACUACGCAUAUACUGACGCUAAUGGACGAAAGCGUGGGGAGCGAACA
This 422-nucleotide ribosomal RNA is filed under the name uncultured bacterium. RNAcentral's name for it is "bacterial SSU rRNA". It matches the Rfam family "Bacterial small subunit ribosomal RNA", at positions 355 to 774 of the family's 1533-position model. The record is from RNAcentral.